AUUGAACGCUGGCGGCAGGCCUAACACAUGCAAGUCGAACGGUAGCACAGAGAGCUUGCUCUCGGGUGACGAGUGGCGGACGGGUGAGUAACGUCUGGGAAACUGCCCGAUGGAGGGGGAUAACUACUGGAAACGGUAGUUAAUACCGCAUAACGUCGCAAGACCAAAGUGGGGGACCUUCGGGCCUCACACCAUCGGAUGUGCCCAGAUGGGAUUAGCUAGUAGGUGGGGGAAUGGCUCACCUAGGCGACGAUCCCUAGCUGGUCUGAGAGGAUGACCAGCCACACUGGAACUGAGACACGGUCCAGACUCCUACGGGAGGCAGCAGUGGGGAAUAUUGCACAAUGGGCGCAAGCCUGAUGCAGCCAUGCCGCGUGUAUGAAGAAGGCCUUCGGGUUGUAAAGUACUUUCAGCGGGGAGGAAGGCGGUGAGGUUAAUAACUUCACCGAUUGACGUUACCCGCAGAAGAAGCACCGGCUAACUCCGUGCCAGCCGCCGCAGUAA
RNAcentral lists this ribosomal RNA (504 nucleotides) under uncultured bacterium. RNAcentral's name for it is "partial 16S ribosomal RNA". It matches the Rfam family "Bacterial small subunit ribosomal RNA", at positions 30 to 523 of the family's 1533-position model. The record is from RNAcentral.